Molecule: long non-coding RNA, 1040 nt
Organism: Chelonia mydas (Green sea turtle)
Lineage: Eukaryota; Metazoa; Chordata; Testudines; Cheloniidae
Exons: 3
Source: RefSeq, a predicted model, not a curated record
GACUCACUGGGCAAAGUUAAUUUCAAUUCCCGAGGAGGAUUUCAUAUUCCAGCUCGCUCUGACCCACAGUAAUUAGCUGAGCUAACUAAUGAUUACUUACUUAUUCCUUGUAAUUAUCUGGAUUUAAUAAUUCGCUGUGUAAUUUAUUAAUUCGCCCAUAAUAGCCUUUAAGUGAAUGGCUCAUUUAAGAGGGCAAAGCGGAAGUUCAGAGACUACCACACGCCUAUUGACAAAUGCUGCCCUUCUGGUGAUUUUAAUUACCCGAUUCACUCUUUCUGUGGAAUAGCAGGGUUUCUCGGAUGCCUGGGCUGGAGGAGGCAGGCACUGGCAAGGUUGGAGGGCCGGACAGAGCAGAAGAGUUCUGUCCUUGGUGCUGAAAGCAAAGCCGGCAUGAGGCAGAAGCAGCCACCAUGACAUAAAGAACCAGACCCGGACCACGUUCUUCUUGAGGUCCAGUUUCUCUGCGAUGGCCGCUAUUUUUUCCGAGGAAGGACGUGGCUGGAUGGCAAAAUAGGCCUCCAAGGACCUCUUCUCAGGUGCAGCGAUAGAGGUACGCUUCCUCUUCUUCUCUGCUCCAUUGAAGAGCUCUGGUUUGGUGAGCUUCUCCCGGUGAGAUUUCUCUGCUUCUUCUAGCCAGGCUUGCAAGAUGGGUUUGAGGGCGAUCAUGUUAUUGUGGGACAAGGUAAGGGACUCAAACCUGCAGAUGGUGCUUUGGCUCAGUGAGCCUACCCCUGGGAUCUUCAAGUUGGCCAGGGCAGAGCCCACAUCUGCCUGGGUCACUCCGAGCUUGAUCCUCCUCUGCUUGAACCUCUCCGCAAAAGCUUCUAGAUCCCGGGGAUCUGCGUCCACGUCGCUCAUGCAUCCCAUGUGAGAAGGCAGCCCGUGGGCAUGGGCCAUGCUUAGAGCCGCCUGGUGCAUAGGGUUCAUACUGGCCAUGUGAGGAGCAUGGGCUGGCGUGGAGACCACCGAGCCGUCUGGUCCGGUCAUGGCCCCCAGCGCCAGCCCUGGGGUGAUGUGAUCUAAAAGCUCCCCUUCCAAAG